GUUUGUUUAAAAAAUGUACAUAUUGAAGGACAAUUUGAUUGUAAUUUAGCCCAAACUUUUUAAUAUGUUUUGAAGUUUUUCAAGCCAUUAUGGAUGUACUUUGGUGAAAUUAAAACCAGGUGCUCCGCAGGGCGCAGCUUUAUACGACCGCAGAGGUCGAACCCUGAACAGUUGGGGCAAGUAUGGACAAAACAUUCAAGCGUGAUACAGCUCUGAAUUUGGAUUGUGAUCAAAUUUUUGACAUUACAUGGUUUUUUUUUUUACACAAAACAAAUGUCAAGAUUUUACAAAUCAAUUAAAGAUUUCUUCUUCAAACUUUUUAAAUCUAAAAUUAAAUAGUUGACACAGCAUAGGUUUCUGACACAGAAUGAAUGUGGUCUAAUGAACUUAAAAGUUUUUUUUUUGCCUUUGAGCAAUUCACUAUGCUGUUGAAUAUUAAUCCUCUCAAAAAAAUGUUUGAAGAAAUUUUCAUUUUAUUUAUGAAAUCUGAAAUGAGAAAAAUUUAAACCCCCCCCCUUUUUUUUCACAUCCCGUUUCCUUUUUCCAAAACUGAUAUCAAUUCAAAUUUCUAAUGGAUUUGCAACAAUAACUACUCUUUUAAAUACAUCAUAAAAUAUUAAAA
Molecule: long non-coding RNA, 622 nt
Filed under: Mytilus galloprovincialis (Mediterranean mussel)
Lineage: Eukaryota; Metazoa; Mollusca; Bivalvia; Mytilida; Mytilidae
Source: RNAcentral